This is a long non-coding RNA of Amphiprion ocellaris (clown anemonefish), 1620 nucleotides long. The record is from Ensembl. Lineage: Eukaryota; Metazoa; Chordata; Actinopteri; Pomacentridae.
CAGCAAGUGUGGAGCCAAACAGAGUACGGUGCAUAGACUGUUUUUUUUUCUCGUUAGUUUUCAUGGCUAAAAUGAGAGAUCAGGUGGCUGAUCUUAAAAUAAAUCAAUACUGAAUUUUUUAUAGAGCGUUAAAGUUUUGCGAAGCCAGGGGGCGGGGCUACUUGAUUGACAGUCUGGUCUGGAAUGAUUGACAGGUCCUAUGGAGGAGGCAGCAGAGACUCUGCUCGCCUGGUUUGGAUUAAUUCUGAUAUAAUAACUGUUGGUUUAUUUAUCGGUGGAGCAGCAGAACAUUUUCCACAGACAGUUUUCCUGCCCGUUGGCUUGUUUUAACUAGUUUUCUGCCUUCGGCUGAUUCUACCAGCAGACACUGAAAGGACUCUGAUAGUUUGGUGUCUCAUAUUCACUGUGAGGAUCUUCUGAGUGAAGCCAGCAGAAGGAAAACCUCAUCUGGAUGUGAAGAAGGAGACUGAAUGGACGACAUCCUCAGUGAACCACUUGAGUGAAAGUAACAGUUCCUCCUGAAGGUCAGAGGUUGCAGCAUCUGAGGGCCUCUUCAAAAGAAGACGUAGUUGAUGAAGGCGUUCUGGAGCAGGACCAGAAAGACCACGACCAAGCAGCCUUGAGAUCUUAGGCAGCGUCUCCCUCAGACCAAAGAACUACAGACUCUUCACAACCUGCUUAAACUCUUGGUACAGGACCUCACCACACGGGUCAAGAAGGUUUCUGUCUCAUUUCUACUCUGAAGCUCACCUUCUCCUGCUCAAACUGCUGACAAAUGUUUCUGCUGCUCUAAAGUCUGGUCUCCAGAACUUCCUAAAAACUCUCAAAGUCUCUUCUGCUGCAGGUUGCUUUGUAGAACUGUUGCAGAAAACCUCACUAAACCACAUGGAGGGGGCUCAAGAUAGUCGUCCAAAUGAAACAGUACAAAAACCAAACUAGCACAACCCAAACGCUAAAGUCUCCUGCAGCCUACCAGAGAACCUCUGAGAACAGAGAAUCAGGACAGGAACUCUUACCUUCUGGACAACCAACGCUGGUUCUCAAACAAGAAUACAGAAUGUGUCUGACCAAAAACCUCUGAAGACUCACUACAGCCAAGACAAAGACACAACUCAGCUGCACCAAAUCCACUAAUCACUGCACACAUUAGCACCAUGUGCUAACUGUGGCUAAAGAACCACAUUUACCAAGACAACUAUCCAGUACAAAGCCCUAAAACACACCAAGAAACACAUUAAAGACGAUUUUACUGCUGGAAGCUGCAAGCCAACGUCUAAAGAACAAACUAAAGCAAUGGAGCCAAACCCGGUUCAGUGGUGAAGAGAAGCAGAGGAAAUGUUUGUCUGCAGCUAAAUAAAGCAGGAAGACACUGAGCUGCUCAGGUGUUCCUGAUAACACCAAGCAGCCACCUGGACAGCCAAUAGGAACACAGCUUACUGGAAGUCCAGAGGGCUGGGUUAGUGAAGGAAAUUUAGUUUAAAGUUGAAGCAGAAAGUUAACAAAGAAAGUUGAAAACCACCUUCUGAUACCUGAAAUCUCUGAGUUUUUACACAAAGAACGCCUGAACAUGUCAAACUGGUUCCAUAGUAGAACCCUCAUUGUAAAAACGUCAUAGUAUGG